This 1899-nucleotide long non-coding RNA is filed under the name Brassica napus (rape). RNAcentral describes it as "long non-coding RNA (BNAP_LNC008953)". The record is from RNAcentral. Lineage: Eukaryota; Viridiplantae; Streptophyta; Magnoliopsida; Brassicales; Brassicaceae.
UGUAUCACAACUAUCUAAACAACAAGAAGACAUAUCUGAUGUCUCCUCUGAUCUUUCACCAAAGGCCAGCGGCUGAUCCAUUAACAUCAUCGAGCCGCUUCAUCAUCCAACCUAUGAUAUCGCGACCAACUUCCUCACGCUCAGGUUCAAAGAGAAGGUCGUGUAAGAAACCUUCAUAGAGUUUGAUGUCUUUAAACACCGAUGGGGCCUGGUUAUACAAGUCUUGUGACGCCAGUGGAUCAGUUACUUUGUCCUCUGUGCCGUGGAGAACAAAGAACGGCACUGUAAUGGAUUUGAAGUUGCGGGUCAAGUAAGCUGUUAUGCGGAGAAUCUCAUGGCCUGUUCGGACUCUUAUUGGACCGGUGUAGACUAACGGGUCAGAGUACUUGGCUAAGAGAGCUUCAGGGUCUCUUGAGACCGGAAUGCCUCUCUUGUUUGCUCCUUUGAAUUGGAACCUUGGAGCCACCAACGAGAAGAUUGGAGCUAUCGCCUACAAAGACACAUAUCACUUAAUGAUCACUUACUAUAUUUUCCAACCGAGAAUGAAAGAAACAUCUAACUUGACUUACCCCGACAAUAGGAUGAGCAGGUUUGACACGAAGUGCAGGCGAUGUUAGGACAAUACCAGCUAACAUAUCUUCAAUAGAGGGAGAUAAAGCCGCCUAUAAGACAAGGUAGACAACAAAUCAAGACACUGUUACAAUAAUGAAGAGAGAGCUUUAAAGGUACGAAGUUUAGGUACCUUCAAGACCACAGCUCCACCAGUAGAGUGACCAAAGAGGAAACACGGCACGCCCGGAUUCUCAGACCUAAUCUUCUCCAAGAAAGCUUCCUAUAUAAUCCAAAUCAUCAACACAACAGCAACUUCAAAGGGAACAUUUCUCUAUUUUCAUCUCCAAGAAGCAAAAAAAAAACAAAGUAAUGUUUGUAAACUUACAGUGUCGGAAACAACGUAAUCAAGAGAAGGAACGUAUCCAUGUAAACCAUCACUCCCACCGUGACCUAAUUACAACGUUAUGAGACCAAAACCUGUUCAGACUCACAGUUUCAGAACAAAGACAUAAACUAAAAAAAGAACAAGACAAGCUCGUGUUCAUACCAAUCCAAUCCAUAGCGUAUACACCAAAGUUACUCGUGUUUAGCUGCUUAGCGAAUUGAGAAUAUCUCCCACUGGAAACAAAACGAGAGAUUAACCCAAUUACAUACAGACAAAGAACAAAACAUGUGUCUGAAACAAAGAUAAUUGAAUUUCAUUUUUACCUGUGUUCAUUCAAUCCAUGGAUAAUAAUCAAAAUCCCCCUGAAACAUAAACAUACAAAAUUCAAGAUCCCAAGGUGAGUUUUGAAACCUAAACGUGCAAGCAAAGCAUGCAAGGGGCUCGAAAGGCUCAUACCUAAGCUCGCCGGAAAGAGGCAACCACGACCGAGAGAACAGAGCGUUACCACGUCGUCCGUAGAACAAGAAACUACUCCAACGAGAAUCGAUUUCGCCGAUCUCAACGCCUUCCGCCAACGAACGGCGCCUAGCCGUGUCUUCCUCCUCCAGCUUCCACGCCAUCUUCCUUUGUAUCUCCUACACUUUGGUUCUGAUUUUACAAUCACACCAUUUGUAUCACAACUAUCUAAACAACAAGAAGACAUAUCUGAUGUCUCCUCUGAUCUUUCACCAAAGGCCAGCGGCUGAUCCAUUAACAUCAUCGAGCCGCUUCAUCAUCCAACCUAUGAUAUCGCGACCAACUUCCUCACGCUCAGGUUCAAAGAGAAGGUCGUGUAAGAAACCUUCAUAGAGUUUGAUGUCUUUAAACACCGAUGGGGCCUGGUUAUACAAGUCUUGUGACGCCAGUGGAUCAGUUACUUUGUCCUCUGUGCCGUGGAGAACAAAGAACGGCACUGUAAUGGA